AGAAUCAACGCUGGCGGCGUGCCUCAGACAUGCAAGUCGAACGCGAAAGUCCCCUUCGGGAGACGAGUAGAGUGGCGCACGGGUGAGUAACACGUAGGUAAUCUACCUUUGGAUGGGGAAUAACAAUCGGAAACGGUUGCUAAUACCGCAUAAUACAGCGGCACCUAAUGGUGACAGUUGUUAAAGCGGGGGAUCGAAAGACCUCGCGUCUGAAGAGGAGCCUGCGGCGGAUUAGCUAGUUGGUAAGGUAGCGGCUUACCAAGGCGACGAUCCGUA
RNAcentral lists this ribosomal RNA (276 nucleotides) under uncultured soil bacterium. RNAcentral describes it as "partial 16S ribosomal RNA". It matches the Rfam family "Bacterial small subunit ribosomal RNA", at positions 26 to 285 of the family's 1533-position model. The record is from RNAcentral.